GAUGAACGCUGGCGGCGUGCCUAAUACAUGCAAGUCGAGCGAACAGACGAGGAUCUUGCUCCUCUGACGUUAGCGGCGGACGGGUGAGUAACACGUGGAUAACCUACCUAUAAGACUGGGAUAACUUCGGGAAACCGGAGCUAAUACCGGAUAACAUGUUGAACCGCAUGGUUCAACAGUGAAAGACGGUCUUGCUGUCACUUAUAGAUGGAUCCGCGUCGCAUUAGCUAGUUGGUAAGGUAACGGCUUACCAAGGCAACGAUGCGUAGCCGACCUGAGAGGGUGAUCGGCCACACUGGAACUGAGACACGGUCCAGACUCCUACGGGAGGCAGCAGUAGGGAAUCUUCCGCAAUGGGCGAAAGCCUGACGGAGCAACGCCGCGUGAGUGAAGAAGGUCUUCGGAUCGUAAAACUCUGUUAGUAGGGAAGAACAAAUGUGUAAGUAACUAUGCACGUCUUGACGGUACCUAAUCAGAAAGCCACGGCUAACUACGUG
This 497-nucleotide ribosomal RNA is filed under the name uncultured bacterium. RNAcentral describes it as "partial 16S ribosomal RNA". It matches the Rfam family "Bacterial small subunit ribosomal RNA", at positions 28 to 507 of the family's 1533-position model. The record is from RNAcentral.